UACGUAGGGGGCAAGCGUUGUCCGGAUUUAUUGGGCGUAAAGAGCGUGUAGGCGGCUUUGCAAGUCCGUUGUGAAAACUCGAGGCUCAACCUCGAGACGCCGGUGGAAACUGCAAAGCUAGAGUCCGGAAGAGGAGAGUGGAAUUCCUGGUGUAGCGGUGAAAUGCGCAGAUAUCAGGAAGAACACCCGUGGCGAAGGCGGCUCUCUGGGACGGUACUGACGCUGAGGCGCGAAAGCGUGGGGAGCAAACAGG
This 253-nucleotide ribosomal RNA is filed under the name uncultured bacterium. RNAcentral's name for it is "partial 16S ribosomal RNA". It matches the Rfam family "Bacterial small subunit ribosomal RNA", at positions 524 to 776 of the family's 1533-position model. The record is from RNAcentral.